This is an RNA transcript of Tigriopus californicus, 1865 nucleotides long. RefSeq lists it as uncharacterized. The transcript is spliced from 5 exons. Lineage: Eukaryota; Metazoa; Arthropoda; Copepoda; Harpacticoida; Harpacticidae. The record is from RefSeq and is a predicted model, not a curated record.
UGGGUGUUGGUGGUCGGCUGUUAUUUUUCAGAAAUAAGUUGAAUAAUCAAUCAUAUUUGGUAGACUCCGGAGCCCAAAUUAGCAUACUACCUUUGUCUCAAAUCUUGAAAUCAACCAGGGUGGGUUCCCCUUCCCUUGUGGUGGCCAAUGGUUCUACUAUUCGUGCUUUCGGUUGCACCUCACAUACCCUCAUUUUGGGGGGAAGAACGUACCGGUGGAACUUUUACUUAGCCGAUUUGAAUCAGGCCAUUUUGUGGGCGAUUUUCUCCGAUCUAACAACUUGAUUUGGCCAACCAUCGUCUUUUUGAUCCCAUCUCACGUAAUUGUGUGAAGGGUCAUGUUGGUAGAGCGGUGGCACCUUCAUUGACCGUAAUCCAACCAGUUCCACCUGGCCGGUAUGAUGUACUUUUGGAUAAGUUUCCCGAACUGCUUACACCGAAUUUUGCUGAAGUCGUUCCCAAACACGGAGUGUUUCACCACAUUCCGACUACAGGACCCCCAGUUCAUGGCAGGGCUCGUCGCUUAUCCUGUGAAAAAUACAAGGCAGCCAAACAGGAUUUUAAAGUCACGUUAGACCUGGGGAUUGUCCGCCGCUCUGCUAGUAACUUUUCAUCCGCUCUUCACGUCACACCAAAAGCUGAUAACUGCUGGCGUUUGGCUGGAGACUACCGUGCUCUCAACAACAACACCAUCCUCGAUAGAUACCCCGUUCCACAUAUCCAAGAUUUCGCGGAUGGUCUCCAUGGUUCGGUCAUCUUUUCAAAAGUGGAUUUAAUGAGGGGUUACAAUCAAAUCCUCCUCAAGAUAUUUCCAAGACAGCCGUCAUCACGCCGUUUGGUCUGUUCGAAUGGCUUAAGAUGCCGUUCGGUCUACGUAAUGCUGCACAAACAUUUCAAAGAAUGAUGGAUUCUGUCCUAAGCGAUGUUCCUUUCCUGUUCGUUUACUUGGAUGAUGUGCUGGUGGCUAGCCCAUCUCAGAGUGAUCAUUUAGUGCAUCUGAGGACUUUAUUCACUCGUUUGUCAAAUAAUGAGUUGGUGAUUAAUCGCAAGAAAUGCUUGUUUGGGGUUAAAGAGAUUUCGUUUCUCAGACACUUCAUCUCUUCGAACGGCAUUGCUCCUUUACCUCAACAAGUUCAAGCCAUCAAAGAUUUUCCACUUCCGGAGACGGCCAACAAACUCGGAGAAUUUAUCGACCAUCUUGGCAAAACUUUUUGCGAACUGUGGCAACUUGCCUUCCUUUUGGUUUAGUGGCUGCUGCCAUUCCCUUGGGAUUUGUCAAUUUUGAUGGAAUAACCUCAACUGUUUCAUUAGAUCCUAUAACUGUCACAAUGACUGUUACAACGACAACUACCGAAGAGGUUGAAGGGGGGCCUGUUCCAUUCCUACCUUUUAGAACAUUAACAACUACACGGCCAGAAGGGGAGGAAGUCAUCAGCGUUCAGCCAACGGAUCUACUCUAUCAAAACCAAAUUCCCAUUGGGUGCUCCUCCACAUCAGGGAAUUGUUCUAGGUUGCACUUAUCUCCUUCACCUGUGUUGGUUGGGAAUGGAUCAACAUCUGAUUUGGCUUUCGUCAAACGCCAUCUUGCCAAUUGGACUUCGGUUGACCCAAAAUCAAUGAACGCGAUUCCAUCUAGAUUGGACGAUAAAGUGAAUCUACAGCGAGAAGGCAAAAACGUAGAUGUUGUAAUGCCACUUGAUGACCCACCUCACGAGUAUAGCGUUCAAAGUGGUGUCAACACUGAUGCAAAUAUCGACAAACCAUCCCACAGAGGAGUGGUAGAAAAAAAAUAUCUUUGACUCAAACAUGUCUGAAAAAUACCCAAUAUCUUAGAUUUGAAAUUGUUGCCAAAUAAAUGAUAACAAG